CGACCUGGCUCACACCGGUUUAAACUCAGAUCAUGUAAAAUUUUAAAGGUCGAACAGACCUCUCUUUAUUAGCUUCUACACCAAUAAUAAAUUUUAAUCCAACAUCGAGGUCGCAAUCUAUUUAAUCGAUAAGAACUCUUUAAAUAAUUACGCUGUUAUCCCUAAGGUAAUUUAAUCUUAUAAUCUAUAUUUUAGGAUCAUUUAUAUACAAAUCAGUAUUUCUAUAAAAAAAAGUUAUUUUAAUUUUUCUAUCACCCCAAUAAAAUAUAUAAUCUAAAUUUUAAAAAAUUAUAUUUCCUUAAACUUUAAAAUCAAAUUAAUAUAAAACUCUAUAGGGUCUUCUCGACUUCUAUACAAAUUUAAGCUUUUUUACUUAAAAAUAAAAUUCUAUUUAACUUUAAAAGAGACAGAUGUUUUUUCAUCAAACCUUUCAUUCAAGCUUUCAAUUAAAAAACUAGUGAUUAUGCUACCWUUGCACGGUCAAUAUACCGCGGCCGUUUGAUAGCGGGGGCGGGUUGGAC
This 521-nucleotide ribosomal RNA is filed under the name Trigonopterus roensis. RNAcentral's name for it is "partial 16S ribosomal RNA". The record is from RNAcentral. Lineage: Eukaryota; Metazoa; Arthropoda; Insecta; Coleoptera; Curculionidae.